Acanthochromis polyacanthus (spiny chromis) is the source of this 545-nucleotide long non-coding RNA. RefSeq lists it as uncharacterized. The transcript has 3 exons. NCBI's taxonomy places the organism in Eukaryota, Metazoa, Chordata, Actinopteri, Pomacentridae. The record is from RefSeq and is a predicted model, not a curated record.
AUGGACGCAACUUCGUUGUCCGACUUCACCUGAGCGCACCAAUGACUUUAGUUUGAUCUGUUGAUCAUAUUUCCUUUAGAUUUGAAGAAUCUUUGAAGACGUUUCCUGAUGACGGAGGAGAAGAUGAGUAGCUUUGUACCUCUGCGAGGGAAAGUAGCAGUUCCUCCUUAAGGUCAGAGAUUGCAGCAUCUGAGGGCCUCUUCAAAAGAAGACGGAGUUGAUGAAGAUGUUCUGGAGCAGAAAGACCACGACCAAGCAGCCUGGAGAUGUUAGGCAGCGUCUCCCUCAGUUCAAAGGUCCCUCUCUGUCUUCCCACACAUCCACCAACCACUGGAACACAUCUCCAAAGUUCUGCUGAAGCUCAGCUUCCCCUCAGAAGAAGUGCCGCCAGAUGAAGGAGCCUUUUGAGAGGCAGCUGGCAUCGUGAUUGGACGGUACUUUGGUCUGAUCCAAUCCAGCUUCAGCUCCAGAGACGACAGGCAGGACGAGUCAACGGAGGCCGAGUGGACGAAGGCAUGAAGCUGAGAACAAUCCAGAAAACACCA